AUUAGUUAGCACCACACCAGCCAGCACAGCAGUUAGCGCCAACACCAGCCAGUACAGCAGCACCCAUUCCAGCUAAAUUAAACAACAAAAGAAAGACUAAACACACAAAUGGAAUUCAAAACAUGAUAAAUCAAUAAAAGGGCAGAGGCUCGCCCGACACUGAUUAGUCAGUGUUAGGUAGUUAAUUAAUUGAAGAGGUUGGUUGGUUAUCCGAACGUCAUUAGGUUUUUGUAGUUUCUUAAUGUAGGUUUUUGUAGUUUUUUUAAAAAACUAUUUUAAGUUAAAAAUUUAUUAACUGGCGCCCGAAUAGGGACCAGCGCGAGUAUCGUUUAAUUCGUCGCGAGUGAUACAACAUCGUGAGUGUUAUCCGAAAAUUUCAACUUUACCGCUGUAAAAGUAGCGACCGCCACUAUCACAGCAGCCGUGGAGAAGAGCGCCCCUAGUCACCAACCAGCAUAGGAGAAACGGGAAGAUCGCCGCUUCACCGGGACAGUUGAAGCUCGUGUCUGGUCGUCUCAAGGAGUCCCGACGAUACAGGACGGGACCCGAUUUCAAGACGAAGUGCUCUCUGGUACAGGAUAGAGCAUUCGUAUUAUGGUUAAGUUUCUAUUAAUAAUAUGUUCCAUGUUGUUGGUGCAAGGAGAGAUACAAAUUCAUAACUUGAAUAAAAAUCCACUGGCAAUAAUUCCAUUGGGAAAAGCAAAACUUACAUUAGGAUAUGUGAGAAUAAUACAACCAAUAGAUCUUACGCAAAUUCAUGAUAUAAUCAUCAAAUUUGAUGAAUUGGUAAGAACAAAUGUUUAUAAUAAUAACCUUUAUAGACUGUUACAAAAUAGAAACCAUUUGCUAUACCAAACAUAUUUAAAAAUUGCACCACACAAUAAUUCACAAUCUCGUAUAAAACGAUGGGAUACUAUUGGAAAAAUCUUGAAAUGGGUUGCUGGAACUCCCGACGCUGAGGAUUUGAGUAUAAUUAACAACACAAUGAACGCAUUAAUCGACAACAACAAUCAACAAACCUUCAUCAACGAAGCUAUAAACUCCCGAAUCAAACAUUUGAAUCAAGUCACCAACGAAUUACUAGAACUGGACUUUAAAUCUCAAAAACAACAUGUUAUUGAAAUCAACCUUCUAACAAUCUUGCUUAACCUGAAUGCAGCUCAACAUCAAAUUGAAAUACUUGAAGAUGCCUUAUUACUCGCAAAAAAUGGCAUUCCUAGCAGUCAAAUCUUAUCUAUGAAAGAUUAUUCAAAAAUAAAAUACUUCCUACAGCAACAGAACAUCCCUGUUACGUCAUUUGAAGAGAUGUUGACUAAAACAAGUACACAAAUUGCCAUGAACAAUACGCACGUGAUGUAUAUGCUAAAAAUUCCACAACUUUCAAACGAAACUUACAACUACGAAUUCAUUAGUCCUCUGAUUCAAAACCAAACAAAAAUACAUAUUGAAUCAAGCUACAUUAUCACUAAUGAAUCGCAUACUUUCGAAACAUCUGCACCAUGUAAAGAAGAUUCCGAAUAUUUUUUAUGUGAAUCCAAGUUGAUAAAACCUACAAGCCCAUGCAUCAGAAAUUUGAUUCUGUCACGACACGCAAAUUGUACAUUUGAAAAAGUGUAUUCAUCUGGAGUAAUUAAUAGAAUCAAUGAUGCAACAUUACUUCUGAAUAAUGUGAAUAUAUCGCUAUACACCAACUGCAGUAAUUCAAGUAAACUAUUGGAAGGAUCGUUCCUAAUUCAUUUCGAACAAUGUGAAUUGUACCUCGACAACAUUCGCUAUACAAACAUCUUCAUGGAGACCCCGAAAACAUCAUUCAGACCUACAACAGGAAUAUUAGCAUACAAAGAAAAUAUCAUCGAUGUUCCGCCACCAGAAUAUUUGGCAAAUUUGACAUUGGAACAUAGAAGAAUACUCAAACAUGUGUACUUGCAAAAUCAUUCUUUCAAAUGGAAACUGAACAUAUUUGGAUCAAUUACUAUCAUAACAUUUACAUUAAUCAUCGCAGCAAUUAUAGUCUACGUACUCGUACUAAAAAGACAAGCUAAAAAAACAGAAAUCGAAAUUAAUUUACAUGAGCAAGAAAAACCAUCGGCACCAGAAGGUAUCCAAAUCAAAUCACCGUAUCCUGAUGUUUCCGAUGAAAGACUUCAACAAAUUAACAAUUACUUGAGAAUGCCAACAGCAGAUCGAUCCAUACGACUUUGAGGACAAAGUCAUUUAAAGGGGGAGGAGUUAGCACCACACCAGCCAGCACAGCAGUUAGCGCCAACACCAGCCAGUACAGCAGCACCCAUUCCAGCUAAAUUAAACAACAAAAGAAAGACUAAACACACAAAUGGAAUUCAAAACAUGAUAAAUCAAUAAAAGGGCAGAGGCUCGCCCGACACUGAUUAGUCAGUGUUAGGUAGUUAAUUAAUUGAAGAGGUUGGUUGGUUAUCCGAACGUCAUUAGGUUUUUGUAGUUUCUUAAUGUAGGUUUUUGUAGUUUUUUUAAAAAACUAUUUUAAGUUAAAAAUUUAUUAACUGAUUAGAGUAGUUGACUUAUUCUGGGUUUCUGAUCGGCCUCAACAAAAUAGCGACAGCUAGAACGUGUUUAUUCUGACGCUCGAAGGAUAGCCUCCACAUGGAUAAUUUCAAGAUCAAUUCAAAAAGUGGUUAAUGAGAAGAGUUGUACCUGAUUGUGACAUUCAAAAAAAAAAACCUUCCGUUUUUUUACCCCAUCUCCGGGAAGAUUGUAACCAACCGUUUUCUGGUUACAAUAUAAACUAUGGUUUUCAGUUUGAUUUUGUUUAUUUUUUUUCAAAUAUUUCUUUGUUAUUAUUUUUAUUAUUGUUUGUAAAUGUUUAAAUACAAAAUUAAUGUUUGUUCUCCGUCUCUUUCUGCACGUUUGAGUCACAUUAACUUUGUAUUUAUUAGCCUACGUUGGUGCCAGCAUUAGUUAUUUUUUUUUUCAAAUAUUAAAGCGAUUUAUUUGUUUGUUUUUUUUUUACAUUAUAUUUUGUUAUUCCAUAGAUAUUUUUCAAAGUUAAUUAAAAUAAAGAAAAUUAAAAUUAUUUAAAGUCCAUUUAAAUUCUUAUAAGUAUAACUUGCAUACAAGUUUUUCAAAUUCAAAAUGGCACCAACCAAAAAUAUUGUAACCCUCGUCACUGCUUGGAGAAACGUCACGACCCGGUCAUCAACUGUCAACGUCACACUGGAGUCGGGGCAAGGACCACCGGAACGGAUAUGAGAUAGGGAGAAUUCGGGAGUUCUGGAAGCUAUAAAAGGACUUGGAGUACAACAUGUGGCUCUCUAGUAAAUUUUAUUGGCCCGGAGGAGCAAAGACAGCGGCAGCGUCCGUCACGCAGUAGUUAUUUGUGACCACGCGUUUCAAGUUAAGAUCUUCUAAAUCAAUAGUUAGAUCGGUUGUGAUUUCCACACGACUUUGUUAAUAAUCCAACCGGUCGAUCGAGUGGGUUUAGUGUGGACGUUAUAAAAGUGAUUUCCGCGGUCUGAAGCAAGAAAAUCGUACGUCGUACGUCGCGAGUGCGCUAUCUGGUCGGUGUGGAUUUGUGAAACCACCAAAAUGACAUUGUGUCGAGAAGCCUAGAAUAGACACAAGUGCGAGACCGUUGGAACAUUAUUGUUGAAAUUCCGACCAAUUUGUGUUAAACCCCGCUCGAUCUACACCAAGACACUCGCGAACAAUUAGUGCACAUGGUACCGCUCCCCGGGCCCGAAAAAAAGUGAAACGCCAGGCCCACCGUUACACGGGCCGAGUUGUCGCAGUAGAUCUGGACUCCCUGUCCGGAAUCGCAGAAUCAUCGCACCGGUAUCCCCCGCCGGCCGAGUUUGUAGCCAAGACCAACCCCUCCCGAUGAAGCCCGCUCCAGUGCAUCCCAUCGAAGUCGACCAACGAGCAUCGCAUCGGCCGCAACGAUUCCUAGUGUGUGUGAGAUACACUCAAUAAAAUGCGCAAGUAGAAAAUUGAACGUUCUCCUUAUGAUUAGUAAUUAAUAAAUUCCCCUAAUUGCAUGGUCCUUACAAAAUCAA
Aedes albopictus (Asian tiger mosquito) is the source of this 4028-nucleotide long non-coding RNA. RefSeq lists it as uncharacterized. Lineage: Eukaryota; Metazoa; Arthropoda; Insecta; Diptera; Culicidae. The record is from RefSeq and is a predicted model, not a curated record. The transcript is spliced from 2 exons.